RNAcentral lists this non-coding RNA (446 nucleotides) under Amborella trichopoda. Its description in RNAcentral is "Bacterial large subunit ribosomal RNA". It matches the Rfam family "Archaeal large subunit ribosomal RNA", at positions 53 to 452 of the family's 2987-position model. Lineage: Eukaryota; Viridiplantae; Streptophyta; Magnoliopsida; Amborellales; Amborellaceae. The record is from Rfam by way of RNAcentral.
GCAAAGAUUGGACGUGACACGUAACGAAAUGGUAUGAGGAGGAACGAAUAUCCUGAGAUCCAUACCUCUCCUUGGAAAACCACACACAAGACAGCGUAAAAAGAACUUGAAAGGGCGCAAGCAUAACCUGCUCCACUUUGCCAUACCAUAAGUAAAGCUAAAGCUGUAUCCGCGAGGCGGUACUUGCUUUGUAGGCCUGGCAAAGCCCAUUGCUGUCAAUAAAAACAUAGCGAAUUGAAACAUCUAAGUAGCUAUUAAGAAAUCAACCGAGAUACCGUUAGUAGUUGUGAGCGAAAGCGGAAUAGGCCAUAUUUUUCUUCAAUGUUGGUAUAAAUGUUUGUUGGAAAACCAUGCCAAAGAGGGUGAAAGCCCCGUUUAUCUACUUAUUUUAUUGGUGCUUGCACACUUUAGUGUGCAAGCACUUUGAGUCUCACAAAAAAAAAGAC